GGAGAGGUGCUCGAGUGGUUGAAGAGGCACGCCUGGAAAGCGUGUAUACCGGAGACGGUAUCGCGGGUUCGAAUCCCGCUCUCUCCG
RNAcentral lists this transfer RNA (87 nucleotides) under Saprospiraceae bacterium. Its description in RNAcentral is "tRNA-Ser". It matches the Rfam family "tRNA". Rfam says of the family: Transfer RNA (tRNA) molecules are approximately 80 nucleotides in length. Their secondary structure includes four short double-helical elements and three loops (D, anti-codon, and T loops). Lineage: Bacteria; Pseudomonadati; Bacteroidota; Saprospiria; Saprospirales; Saprospiraceae. The record is from RNAcentral.